This is a long non-coding RNA of Haliotis rubra (blacklip abalone), 123 nucleotides long. RefSeq lists it as uncharacterized. The record is from RefSeq and is a predicted model, not a curated record. The transcript has 3 exons. Lineage: Eukaryota; Metazoa; Mollusca; Gastropoda; Lepetellida; Haliotidae.
CCAUGCUUGUCGUAAGAGGCGACUAACGGGAUCGGAUGGUCAUACUCGCUGACCUGGUGGACACAUGUCAUCGUAUCCCAGCUGCCUAGAUCGAUGUACAUGCUGCUGAGCACUGCAUUGUGU